Molecule: ribosomal RNA, 478 nt
Filed under: uncultured bacterium
Lineage: Bacteria
Description: partial 16S ribosomal RNA
Rfam family: Bacterial small subunit ribosomal RNA
Source: RNAcentral
GACGAACGCUGGCGGCAUGCCUAACACAUGCAAGUCGAGCGAGUAGAUCCCUUCGGGGUGAAGCUAGCGGCGGACGGGUGAGUAACACGUGGGCAACCUGCCUCAUAGAGGGGAAUAGCCUUCCGAAAGGAAGAUUAAUACCGCAUAAGAUUGUAGUACCGCAUGGUGUAGCAAUUAAAGGAGCAAUCCGCUAUGAGAUGGGCCCGCGGCGCCUUAGCUAGUUGGUGAGGUAACGGCUCACCAAGGCGACGAUGCGUAGCCGACCUGAGAGGGUGAUCGGCCACAUUGGGACUGAGACACGGCCCAGACUCCUACGGGAGGCAGCAGUGGGGAAUAUUGCACAAUGGGGGAAACCCUGAUGCAGCAAUGCCGCGUGAGUGAUGACGGCCUUCGGGUUGUAAAGCUCUGUCUUCGGGGACGAUAAUGACGGUACCCGAGGAGGAAGCCACGGCUAACUACGUGCCAGCCGCCGCCGUAA